UUGCGGUUAAAAAGCUCGUAGUUGGAUCUCGGCGGGCAGGGGGUGGUUCGCUCUUCAGCGCUACUGCCCCGCUUUGCCCGUGUGACUGGCGGAGGUUUCGGGGUGCUCUUCGUUGAGUGACUCGGAGCGCCGUCAGGUUUACUUUGAAAAAAUUAGAGUGCUCAAAGCAGGCUUUUCACGCUUGAAUAUUCGUGCAUGGAAUAAUGGAAUAGGAACUCGUUUCUAUUUUGUUGGUUUUCGGAAAUCGAGUUAAUGAUUAACAGGGACAAUUGGGGGCAUUAGUAUUCAGACGACAGAGGUGAAAUUCUUGGACCGUCUGAAGACUGACUACUGCGAAAGCAUUUGCCAAGAGUGUUCUCAUUAAUCAAGAACGAAAGUUAGAGGAUCGAAGACGAUCAGAUACCGUCCUAGUUCUAACCAUAAACGAUGUCGACUAGGGAUCAGCGGGCGUUAUCGUACGACCCCGUUGGCACCUUACGGGAAACCAAAGUUUCUGGAUUCCGGGGGAAGUAUAGUCGCAAGGCCGAAACCUUAAAGGAAUUGACGGAAGGCACCA
RNAcentral lists this ribosomal RNA (556 nucleotides) under uncultured eukaryote. Its description in RNAcentral is "bacterial SSU rRNA". It matches the Rfam family "Eukaryotic small subunit ribosomal RNA", at positions 613 to 1169 of the family's 1831-position model. The record is from RNAcentral.